UACGUAGGGUGCAAGCGUUGUCCGGAAUUAUUGGGCGUAAAGAGCUCGUAGGCGGUUUGUCGCGUCUGCUGUGAAAACCCGAGGCUCAACCUCGGGCCUGCAGUGGGUACGGGCAGACUAGAGUGCGGUAGGGGAGAUUGGAAUUCCUGGUGUAGCGGUGGAAUGCGCAGAUAUCAGGAGGAACACCGAUGGCGAAGGCGGGUCUCUGGGCAGUAACUGACGCUGAGGAGCGAAAGCGUGGGGAGCGAACAGG
RNAcentral lists this ribosomal RNA (253 nucleotides) under uncultured bacterium. RNAcentral's name for it is "partial 16S ribosomal RNA". It matches the Rfam family "Bacterial small subunit ribosomal RNA", at positions 524 to 776 of the family's 1533-position model. The record is from RNAcentral.